GAAUGUGUAGCUCAGUUGGCUAGAGCACUGGACACUAAUCCAGGGGUCAACGGUUCGAAUCCGUUUACAUUUA
Molecule: transfer RNA, 73 nt
Filed under: Bacteriophage sp.
Description: tRNA-OTHER
Rfam family: tRNA
About the family: Transfer RNA (tRNA) molecules are approximately 80 nucleotides in length.
Source: RNAcentral